GGGCGAGCCUGAUCCAGCCAUGCCGCGUGGUGUGAAGAAGGUCUUCGGAUUGUAAAGCACUUUAAGUUGGGAGGAAGGGCAGUAAGUUAAUACCUUGCUGUUUUGACGUUACCGACAGAAUAAGCACCGGCUAACUUCGUGCCAGCAGCCGCGGUAAUACGAA
Molecule: ribosomal RNA, 163 nt
Filed under: uncultured Pseudomonas sp.
Lineage: Bacteria; Pseudomonadati; Pseudomonadota; Gammaproteobacteria; Pseudomonadales; Pseudomonadaceae
Description: partial 16S ribosomal RNA
Rfam family: Bacterial small subunit ribosomal RNA
Source: RNAcentral